GGUCUCGUAGCUCAGUUGGCUAGGGCGUUGGCUGUACUAAAGCUUUCUUCUUAAUGGUGUGGGAUCGAAUCCCACCGGGGCCG
Molecule: transfer RNA, 83 nt
Filed under: Schistocephalus solidus
Lineage: Eukaryota; Metazoa; Platyhelminthes; Cestoda; Diphyllobothriidea; Diphyllobothriidae
Rfam family: tRNA
About the family: Transfer RNA (tRNA) molecules are approximately 80 nucleotides in length.
Source: Rfam by way of RNAcentral